This 406-nucleotide ribosomal RNA is filed under the name uncultured bacterium. RNAcentral describes it as "partial 16S ribosomal RNA". It matches the Rfam family "Bacterial small subunit ribosomal RNA", at positions 29 to 526 of the family's 1533-position model. The record is from RNAcentral.
AUUGAACGCUGGCGGCAGGCUUAACACAUGCAAGUCGAGCGAGCGGCGGACGGGUGAGUAAUGUCUGGGAAACUGCCCGAUGGAGGGGGAUAACUACUGGAAACGGUAGCUAAUACCGCAUACCAUCGGAUGUGCCCAGAUGGGAUGAGCUAGUAGGUGGGGGAAUGGCUCACCUAGGCGACGAUCCCUAGCUGGUCUGAGAGGAUGACCAGCCACACAGGAACGAAGACACGAACCAUACUCCUACGGGAGGAAGCAGUGGGGAAAAUUGCAAAAUGGGCGCAAGCCUAGUGCAGCCAUGCCGCGUGUGUGAAGAAGGCUUUCGGGUUGUAAAGCACUUUCAGCGAGGAGGCGUUACUCGCAGAAGAAGCACCGGCUAACACCGUGCCAGCAGCCGCGGUAAUAC